UGGAUAGUGAUGAUGCUUAAUAUAUAAUCCAACACUUGAUUUGAGAUAUUUUAGUGAUGUGCUAAACAGUUUUAUAUGCUUCUGAUUUUAA
Molecule: small nucleolar RNA, 91 nt
Organism: Lupinus angustifolius (narrow-leaved blue lupine)
Lineage: Eukaryota; Viridiplantae; Streptophyta; Magnoliopsida; Fabales; Fabaceae
Rfam family: Small nucleolar RNA snoR31
Source: Rfam